GGGGUAGAGCACUGUUUCGGCUAGGGGGCCAUCCCGGCUUACCAACCCGAUGCAAACUGCGAAUACCGGAGAAUGUUAUCACGGGAGACACACGGCGGGUGCUAACGUCCGUCGUGAAGAGGGAAACAACCCAGACCGCCAGCUAAGGUCCCAAAGUCAUGGUUAAGUGGGAAACGAUGUGGGAAGGCCCAGACAGCCAGGAUGUUGGCUUAGAAGCAGCCAUCAUUUAAAGAAAGCGUAAUAGCUCACUGGUCGAGUCGGCCUGCGCGGAAGAUGUAACGGGGCUAAACCAUGCACCGAAGCUGCGGCAGCGACGCUGAUGCGUUGUUGGGUAGGGGAGCGUUCUGUAAGCCUGCGAAGGUGGCCUGUGAGGGUUGCUGGAGGUAUCAGAAGUGCGAAUGCUGACAUAAGUAACGAUAAAGCGGGUGAAAAGCCCGCUCGCCGGAAGACCAAGGGUUCCUGUCCAACGUUAAUCGGGGCAGGGUGAGUCGACCCCUAAGGCGAGGCCGAAAGGCGUAGUCGAUGGGAAACGGGUUAAUAUUCCCGUACUUGGUGUUACUGCGAAGGGGGGACGGAGAAGGCUAUGUUGGCCGGGCGACGGUUGUCCCGGUUUAAGCGUGUAGGUGUGUGUUCCAGGUAAAUCCGGUUCACUUUAACACUGAGGCGUGAUGACGAGGCACUACGGUGCUGAAGCAACAAAUGCCCUGCUUCCAGGAAAAGCCUCUAAGCAUCAGGUAACAUCAAAUCGUACCCCAAACCGACACAGGUGGUCAGGUAGAGAAUACCAAGGCGCUUGAGAGAACUCGGGUGAAGGAACUAGGCAAAAUGGUGCCGUAACUUCGGGAGAAGGCACGCUGACACGUAGGUGAAGUGAUUUACUCAUGGAGCUGAAGUCAGUCGAAGAUACCAGCUGGCUGCAACUGUUUAUUAAAAACACAGCACUGUGCAAACACGAAAGUGGACGUAUACGGUGUGACGCCUGCCCGGUGCCGGAAGGUUAAUUGAUGGGGUCAGCGCAAGCGAAGCUCCUGAUCGAAGCCCCGGUAAACGGCGGCCGUAACUAUAACGGUCCUAAGGUAGCGAAAUUCCUUGUCGGGUAAGUUCCGACCUGCACGAAUGGCGUAAUGAUGGCCAGGCUGUCUCCACCCGAGACUCAGUGAAAUUGAACUCGCUGUGAAGAUGCAGUGUACCCGCGGCAAGACGGAAAGACCCCGUGAACCUUUACUAUAGCUUGACACUGAACAUUGAGCCUUGAUGUGUAGGAUAGGUGGGAGGCUUUGAAGUGUGGACGCCAGUCUGCAUGGAGCCGACCUUGAAAUACCACCCUUUAAUGUUUGAUGUUCUAACGUGGACCCGUGAUCCGGGUUGCGGACAGUGUCUGGUGGGUAGUUUGACUGGGGCGGUCUCCUCCUAAAGAGUAACGGAGGAGCACGAAGGUUGGCUAAUCCUGGUCGGACAUCAGGAGGUUAGUGCAAUGGCAUAAGCCAGCUUGACUGCGAGCGUGACGGCGCGAGCAGGUGCGAAAGCAGGUCAUAGUGAUCCGGUGGUUCUGAAUGGAAGGGCCAUCGCUCAACGGAUAAAAGGUACUCCGGGGAUAACAGGCUGAUACCGCCCAAGAGUUCAUAUCGACGGCGGUGUUUGGCACCUCGAUGUCGGCUCAUCACAUCCUGGGGCUGAAGUAGGUCCCAAGGGUAUGGCUGUUCGCCAUUUAAAGUGGUACGCGAGCUGGGUUUAGAACGUCGUGAGACAGUUCGGUCCCUAUCUGCCGUGGGCGCUGGAGAACUGAGGGGGGCUGCUCCUAGUACGAGAGGACCGGAGUGGACGCAUCACUGGUGUUCGGGUUGUCAUGCCAAUGGCACUGCCCGGUAGCUAAAUGCGGAAGAGAUAAGUGCUGAAAGCAUCUAAGCACGAAACUUGCCCCGAGAUGAGUUCUCCCUGAGACUUUAGGUCUCCUGAAGGAACGUUGAAGACGACGACGUUGAUAGGCCGGGUGUGUAAGCGCAGCGAUGCGUUGAGCUAACCGGUACUAAUGAACCGUGAGGCUUAACCUUACA
RNAcentral lists this ribosomal RNA (2054 nucleotides) under Salmonella enterica. RNAcentral's name for it is "partial 23S ribosomal RNA". It matches the Rfam family "Bacterial large subunit ribosomal RNA", at positions 899 to 2925 of the family's 2925-position model. The record is from RNAcentral. Lineage: Bacteria; Pseudomonadati; Pseudomonadota; Gammaproteobacteria; Enterobacterales; Enterobacteriaceae.